RNAcentral lists this ribosomal RNA (611 nucleotides) under uncultured bacterium. Its description in RNAcentral is "bacterial SSU rRNA". It matches the Rfam family "Bacterial small subunit ribosomal RNA", at positions 338 to 951 of the family's 1533-position model. The record is from RNAcentral.
CCUACGGGAGGCAGCAGUAAGGAAUAUUGGUCAAUGGAGGCAACUCUGAACCAGCCAUGCCGCGUGCAGGAAGACAGCCCUCUGGGUCGUAAACUGCUUUUAUUCGGGAAUAAACCUUAUUACGUGUAAUAAGCUGAAUGUACCGAAGGAAUAAGGAUCGGCUAACUCCGUGCCAGCAGCCGCGGUAAUACGGAGGAUCCAAGCGUUAUCCGGAUUUAUUGGGUUUAAAGGGUGCGUAGGCGGCUUAUUAAGUCAGGGGUGAAAGACGGUGGCUCAACCAUCGCAGUGCCUUUGAUACUGAUGAGCUUGAAUGAACUAGAGGUAGGCGGAAUGUGACAAGUAGCGGUGAAAUGCAUAGAUAUGUCACAGAACACCGAUUGCGAAGGCAGCUUACUAUGGUUUUAUUGUACGCUGAGGCACGAAAGCGUGGGGAUCAAACAGGAUUAGAUACCCUGGUAGUCCACGCCCUAAACGAUGAAUACUCGCUGUUAGCGAUAUACAGUUAGCGGCUAAGCGAAAGCGUUAAGUAUUCCACCUGGGGAGUACGCCCGCAGGUGAAACUCAAAUGAAUUGACGGCUGAGAGAGACGACGACGACGACGAGGGAGGAGG